RNAcentral lists this ribosomal RNA (693 nucleotides) under Francisella-like endosymbiont of Hyalomma marginatum. RNAcentral's name for it is "bacterial SSU rRNA". It matches the Rfam family "Bacterial small subunit ribosomal RNA", at positions 777 to 1472 of the family's 1533-position model. The record is from RNAcentral. Lineage: Bacteria; Pseudomonadati; Pseudomonadota; Gammaproteobacteria; Thiotrichales; Francisellaceae.
AUUAGAUACCCUGGUAGUCCAUGCUGUAAACGAUGAGUACUAGCUGUUGGAGUCGGUGUAAAGGCUCUAGUGGCGCAGCUAACGCGAUAAGUACUCCGCCUGGGGACUACGGCCGCAAGGCUAAAACUCAAAGGAAUUGACGGGGAUCCGCACAAGCGGUGGAGCAUGUGGUUUAAUUCGAUGCAACGCGAAGAACCUUACCUGGUCUUGACAUCCUGCGAGCUUUCUAGAAAUAGAUUGGUGCCUUAGGGAACGCAGUGACAGGUGCUGCACGGCUGUCGUCAGCUCGUGUUGUGAAAUGUUGGGUUAAGUCCCGCAACGAGCGCAACCCCUAUUGAUAGUUACCAUCAUUAAGUUGGGUACUCUAUUGAGACUGCCGCUGACAAGGCGGAGGAAGGUGGGGACGACGUCAAGUCAUCAUGGCCCUUACGACCAGGGCUACACACGUGCUACAAUGGGUAUUACAGAGGGCUGCAAAGGAGCGAUCUGGAGCGAAACUCAAAAAGGUACUCUUAGUCCGGAUUGCAGUCUGCAACUCGACUGCAUGAAGUCGGAAUCGCUAGUAAUCGCAGGUCAGAAUACUGCGGUGAAUACGUUCCCGGGUCUUGUACACACCGCCCGUCACACCAUGGGAGUGGGUUGCUCCAGAAGUAGAUAGCUUAACGAAUGGGCGUUUACCACGGAGUGAUUCAU